AAGACCUUGCGCUUUUGGAGCGGCCGAUGCCUGAUUAGCUGGUUGGUGGGGUAAUGGCCUACCAAAGCUUCGAUCAGUAGCUGGUCUGAGAGGACGGCCAGCCACACUGGGACUGAGACACGGCCCAGACUCCUACGGGAGGCAGCAGUGGGGAAUUUUGGACAAUGGGGGAAACCCUGAUCCAGCCAUGCCGCGUGAGUGAAGAAGGCCUUCGGGUUGUAAAGCUCUUUCAGCCGGAACGAAACGGUUACGGAUAAUACCCGUGACUACUGACGGUACCGGAAGAAGAAGCACCGGCUAACUACGUGCCAGCAGCCGCGGUAAUACGUAGGGUGCGAGCGUUAAUCGGAAUUACUGGGCGUAAAGCGUGCGCAGGUGGUUUUGUAAGUCAGAUGUGAAAGCCCCGGGCUCAACCUGGGAACU
Molecule: ribosomal RNA, 423 nt
Filed under: uncultured bacterium
Lineage: Bacteria
Description: bacterial SSU rRNA
Rfam family: Bacterial small subunit ribosomal RNA
Source: RNAcentral